CUUCGAUGCCAGAGUGUUUUGUCUUCAGUGGUAACAAGCUCAGCCAACACUAAGUCUAUGCUUUGUUCUUCGUUUCCAAGUAAUUUUGUUUAUGCUCCUUCGUAGGCUGAAAACCUGAACUUUGGAUUUACUUCGCUAAUCACUGACUUCGUGUCCGGAAGUUUCUGGACGAACAAGAUUACCUAUGUACUGAGGACUUCGUCUCCUAGCAACUGUUUCCAUCUGGAUUCAGACCAAGCUGGCAAAUUCCUGCUUCCUCUGUUUCCUGGACCUAGACUUAAGUGUACCCUGUCCACCCUCCAACGCAAGUAUCUGCACAUUAAACUCUCUCCUGAAAUCACCAAGCUCAAACGGCACCAAAGAAAUCAUCUGAACAAUUUCUGUUUCGACAACCUGGACUCCGAAUCCCUCUACACCUGGCGACCUGACCGCAUCCACUUAUUGAAGAUUCUUCAGUUCUCGUUUCCUGAUUGUUGGCACAAUAAAAACAUCAUUUCACUUAA
Girardinichthys multiradiatus is the source of this 503-nucleotide long non-coding RNA. RefSeq lists it as uncharacterized. Lineage: Eukaryota; Metazoa; Chordata; Actinopteri; Cyprinodontiformes; Goodeidae. The transcript has 2 exons. The record is from RefSeq and is a predicted model, not a curated record.